AGCAAACAGGAUUAGAUACCUGGUAGUCCACGCUGUAAACGAUGUCGAUUUGGAGUUUGUUGCCUAGAGUGAUGGGCUCCGAAGCUAACGCGAUAAAUCGACCGCCUGGGGAGUACGGCCGCAAGGUUAAAACUCAAAUGAAUUGACGGGGGCCCGCACAAGCGGUGGAGCAUGUGGUUUAAUUCGAUGCAACGCGAAGAACCUUACCUGGUCUUGACAUCCAUAGAAUUCUGCAGAGAUGUGGGAGUGCCUUCGGGAACUAUGAGACAGGUGCUGCAUGGCUGUCGUCAGCUCGUGUUGUGAAAUGUUGGGUUAAGUCCCGCAACGAGCGCAACCCUUAUUCUUUGUUGCCAGCGAUUUGGUCGGGAACUCAAAGGAGACUGCCGUUGAUAAAGCGGAGGAAGGUGGGGACGACGUCAAGUCAUCAUGGCCCUUACGACCAGGGCUACACACGUGCUACAAUGGCGUAUACAAAGGGAAGCGAAGGUGCGAGCUGGAGCGGAUCUCAUAAAGUACGUCUAAAUUCGGAUUGGAGUCUGCAACUCGACUCCAUGAAGUCGGAAUCGCUAGUAAUCGUAGAUCAGAAUGCUACGGUGAAUACGUUCCCGGGCCUUGUACACACCGCCCGUCACACCAUGGGAGUGGGUUGCACCAGAAGUAGAUAGCUUAACCGCGAGGGGGGCGUUUACCACGGUGUGAUUCAUGACUGGGGUGAAGUCGUAACAAGGUAACCA
Molecule: ribosomal RNA, 734 nt
Filed under: uncultured Enterobacteriaceae bacterium
Lineage: Bacteria; Pseudomonadati; Pseudomonadota; Gammaproteobacteria; Enterobacterales; Enterobacteriaceae
Description: bacterial SSU rRNA
Rfam family: Bacterial small subunit ribosomal RNA
Source: RNAcentral